RNAcentral lists this ribosomal RNA (492 nucleotides) under uncultured bacterium. RNAcentral's name for it is "partial 16S ribosomal RNA". It matches the Rfam family "Bacterial small subunit ribosomal RNA", at positions 29 to 507 of the family's 1533-position model. The record is from RNAcentral.
AGUGAACGCUGGCGGUAGGCCUAACACAUGCAAGUCGAACGGCAGCACAGUAAGAGCUUGCUCUUACGGGUGGCGAGUGGCGGACGAGUGAGGAAUACAUCGGAAUCUACUUUUUCGUGGGGGAUAACGUAGGGAAACUUACGCUAAUACCGCAUACGACCUACGGGUGAAAGCAGGGGAUCUUCGGACCUUGCGCGAUUGAAUGAGCCGAUGUCGGAUUAGCUAGUUGGCGGGGUAAAGGCCCACCAAGGCGACGAUCCGUAGCUGGUCUGAGAGGAUGAUCAGCCACACUGGAACUGAGACACGGUCCAGACUCCUACGGGAGGCAGCAGUGGGGAAUAUUGGACAAUGGGCGAAAGCCUGAUCCAGCCAUACCGCGUGGGUGAAGAAGGCCUUCGGGUUGUAAAGCCCUUUUGUUGGGAAAGAAGAGCAGCAGGUUAAUACCCCGCUGUUCUGACGGUACCCAAAGAAUAAGCACCGGCUAACUUCGUG